GAUGAACGCUGGCGGCGUGCUUAACACAUGCAAGUCGAACGGAAAGGCCCAAGCUUGCUUGGGUACUCGAGUGGCGAACGGGUGAGUAACACGUGGGUGAUCUGCCCUGCACUUCGGGAUAAGCCUGGGAAACUGGGUCUAAUACCGGAUAGGACCACAUUUUGGAUGGUGUGGUGGAAAGUUUUUCGGUGUGGGAUGAGCUCGCGGCCUAUCAGCUUGUUGGUGGGGUAAUGGCCUACCAAGGCGUCGACGGGUAGCCGGCCUGAGAGGGUGUACGGCCACAUUGAGACUGAGAGACGGCACAGACUCCUACGGGAGGCAGCAGUGGGGAAGAUUGCACAAGGGGCGCAAGCCUGAUGCAGCGACGCCGCGUGGGGGAUGACGGCCUUCGGGUUGUAAACUCCUUUCGCUAGUGACGAAGCGUUAUGUGACGGUACCUGGAGAAGAAGCACCGGCUAACUACGUG
This 466-nucleotide ribosomal RNA is filed under the name uncultured bacterium. Its description in RNAcentral is "partial 16S ribosomal RNA". It matches the Rfam family "Bacterial small subunit ribosomal RNA", at positions 28 to 507 of the family's 1533-position model. The record is from RNAcentral.